UAUUGACAUCUUUGCAACCAAUGUAUGCUUGAAAACUAGUCUCUCAUGCUGUUAGUUGUUGUGCAGGUAUGUUGUUGCUAAGGCAGGCUUGUUGUUGCUGACACAGGUAUGUUGUUGCUAAGGCAGGUAUGUUGUUGCUGACACAGGUACGUUGUUGCUAAGGCAGGUAUGUUGCUGACACAGAUACGUUGUUGCUAAGGCAGGUAUGUUGUUGCUAAAGCAGGUAUGUUGUUGCUGACACAGGUAAGUUGUUGCUAAGGCAGGUAUGUUGUUGCUGACACAGGUACAUUGUUGCUAAGGGAGGUGUGUUGUUGCUAAGGCAGGUAUGUUGUUGCUAAGGCAGGUAUGUUGUUUCUGUUUGAAGUUUGGUAAGGCAGGUGUGUUUUACCUGAGGCAGUAGUGUUGUUACAACAGGUACAUAGUUGGCAGGGAUGUUGAAGGCAGGGAUGUCGUUGCAGAGGCAGGAAUUUUCUUUUCUGAGGCAGGUAUACUGUUGCAAAGGCAGGUGCUGUUGCUGAUGUUGUGUGUUGUUGCUGAGGCAGUUGUGCUGAUCCAGAGACAGGGACGUUGUUACUGAGGCAGGUAUGUCUAUUGACAGCUAAGUUACUAUAUACUUAGAGCUGUUACCUCGCUGUGAUACCGAUAAAUAUACUCAAAAAUUGUUCCCCGAUCAGUCAAGACUGAACACAAGAUGUAUUUUCAAUAUAGGAGCCUAUUUAGCUAACAAUGAGAAGUCUUCAGAAUGCUAAAUUGUACAAUUCAUUGCCAUGAUAUUGAGGAUUUGAAAUAAGUAUUUGAAUCUGGGAGGUUUCUGUACCUGAUUUGUUGAUUAAUUAUAUCCACUACACCUCAUAUUGAACUCGUGUAUUAAUGGGGGUUGGGGGAAUGUAGUUUAUCGUCUAAAAUUGUUGUACACAGGAUUUAAGGCAUGGGUGAGAUAUUUUG
Molecule: long non-coding RNA, 945 nt
Filed under: Haliotis rubra (blacklip abalone)
Lineage: Eukaryota; Metazoa; Mollusca; Gastropoda; Lepetellida; Haliotidae
Description: uncharacterized LOC124259494, transcript variant X1
Source: RNAcentral